AGAGUUUGAUCAUGGCUCAGAUUGAACGCUGGCGGCAUGCUUUACACAUGCAAGUCGAGCGGCAGCGCGGGGGCAACCCUGGCGGCGAGCGGCGGACGGGUGAGUAAUGCAUCGGAACGUAUCCCGUAGUGGGGACAACCCAGCGAAAGCUGGGCUAAUACCGCAUAUGCUCUACGGAGGAAAGUGGGGGACCCGCAAGGGCCUCACGCUAUGGGAGCGGCCGAUGUCCGAUUAGCUAGUUGGUGGGGUAAAGGCCUACCAAGGCGACGAUCGGUAGCUGGUCUGAGAGGAUGAUCAGCCACACUGGGACUGAGACACGGCCCAGACUCCUACGGGAGGCAGCAGUGGGGAAUUUUGGACAAUGGGGGCAACCCUGAUCCAGCCAUGCCGCGUGCGGGAAGAAGGCCUUCGGGUUGUAAACCGCUUUUGUUCGGGAAGAAAAGGCACGUCCUAAUACGGCGUGUUCUUGACGGUACCGGAAGAAUAAGCACCGGCUAACUACGUG
This 505-nucleotide ribosomal RNA is filed under the name uncultured bacterium. RNAcentral describes it as "bacterial SSU rRNA". It matches the Rfam family "Bacterial small subunit ribosomal RNA", at positions 8 to 507 of the family's 1533-position model. The record is from RNAcentral.